CCAAUCGAACCCGGAGAUAGCUGGUUCUCCUCGAAAUAGCUUUAGGGCUAGCCUCAUGAGAGUCUUAUGGAGGUAGAGCACUGAAUUGCCUAGGGGGCGUCAAAGCUUACCAAAGCAUAUCAAACUCCGAAUGCCAUCAAGAUGAUUCAUGGGAGUCAGACCAUACGAGAUAAGUUGGAUGGUCAAAAGGGAAAGAGCCCAGACCUACAGCUAAGGUCCCAAAGUACGUGUUAAGUGGAAAAGGAUGUGGGGAUUCUAAGACAACUAGGACGUUGGCUUAGAAGCAGCCAUUCAUUGAAAGAGUGCGUAAUAGCUCACUAGUCGAGAGUCCCUGCGCCGAAAAUGUCCGGGGCUGAAACACGACACCGAAGCUUAGGAAUGUGUAAACAUUGGUAGAGGAGCAUUGCUAGCGGGAUGAAGCCAUACCGUAAGGAGUGGUGGACUGCUAGGAAGAGAGAAUGCCGGAAUGAGUAGCGAGAUGAAGGUGAGAAUCCUUCAGGCCGAAUAUCUAAGGUUUCCAGAGUAAAGCUGAUCUGCUCUGGGUAAGUCGGGACCUAAGGCGAGGUCGAAAGACGUAGUCGAUGGAUAACAGGUUGAAAUUCCUGUACCGCAUAUAAACAGAACUGUGGGGACACAGACAGGGAAUGGAAUCCGGGAAUGGAUAUCCCGGUGCAAGCGAGGUAGGAGUGCUGUUGGCAAAUCCGCAGCACGAUCUGAAGACGUGACGCGUACCGAACAUAAGUAGGGAAGUCCAGGCCCCUGGCUGUCAAGAAAAGCCGCUAUUGUUUUAUAUGUGCCCGUACCGCAAACCGACACAGGUGGAUGAGGAGAGAAUCCUAAGGCCGACGGGAGAAGUAUUGUUAAGGAACUCGGCAAAAUGACUCCGUAACUUCGGGAGAAGGAGUGCCAUGAGAGUGGCCGCAGAGAAAUGGCCCAAGCAACUGUUUAGCAAAAACACAGGUCUAUGCAAAACCGCAAGGUGAAGUAUAUGGGCUGACGCCUGCCCGGUGCUGGAAGGUUAAGGGGAGAGGUUAGCGCAAGCGAAGCUUUGAACUUAAGCCCCAGUAAACGGCGGCCGUAACUAUAACGGUCCUAAGGUAGCGAAAUUCCUUGUCGGGUAAGUUCCGACCCGCACGAAAGGCGUAAUGAUUUGAGCGCUGUCUCGACAAUGCAUCCGGUGAAAUUGAAGUACCAGUGAAGAUGCUGGUUACCUGCGCCAGGACGGAAAGACCCCAUGGAGCUUUACUCCAGUUUGAUACUGGGAUUCGGCAUGGUAUGUACAGGAUAGGUGGGAGACUGAGAAGGUAUGACGUCAGUUGUACCGGAGUCGCUGUUGGGAUACCACCCUUACCAUGUUGGAUUUCUAACCUGUGGCCGUAAGCCGGUCAGGGGACAAUGUCAGGCGGGGAGUUUGACUGGGGCGGUCGCCUCCGAAAGGGUAUCGGAGGCGCUCAAAGGUUCCCUCAGAAUGGUUGGAAACCAUUCGAAGAGUGCAAAGGCAGAAGGGAGCUUGACUGCGACACCGACGGGUGGAGCAGGUACGAAAG
This 1547-nucleotide ribosomal RNA is filed under the name human gut metagenome. RNAcentral's name for it is "bacterial LSU rRNA". It matches the Rfam family "Bacterial large subunit ribosomal RNA", at positions 829 to 2405 of the family's 2925-position model. The record is from RNAcentral.